RNAcentral lists this ribosomal RNA (463 nucleotides) under Ototyphlonemertes sp. 1 TCH-2015. Its description in RNAcentral is "partial 16S ribosomal RNA". It matches the Rfam family "Bacterial large subunit ribosomal RNA", at positions 1852 to 2624 of the family's 2925-position model. Lineage: Eukaryota; Metazoa; Nemertea; Enopla; Monostilifera; Ototyphlonemertidae. The record is from RNAcentral.
GUCUUUUCUGCUCGGUGUUCUUUAACAGCCGCGGUACUUUGACCGUGCAAAGGUAGCAUAAUCACUUGCCUUAUAAUUGGGGGCUAGAAUGAAAGAAUGAACGAAAGUUUUUCUUUAUUUUAAAAAUUAAAAUAAUUUUCUUUUUUAGUGAAGAAGCUAAAAUUUAGAAAGGGGACAAGAAGACCCUUUUGAGCUUGACUAGUCUUAUUUAUUUAUAAUGAAGGGUUAGUUUGGUUGGGGCGACCAAGGAAUAGAUCUUCCUUUAUUAAUUUUGAUCCGCUUUUAGCGAUUAAAAGAGUAAGUUACCAAAGGGAUAACAGCGUAAUCUUUUUUGAGAGUUCUUAUUAAAAAUUAGGAUUGCGACCUCGAUGUUGACUUAUGGUUUCCUUUUGAUGUAGCAGUUAUUAGGGUGGGUCUGUUCGACCUUUAAAGCCUUACGUGAGUUGAGUUCAGACCGGCGUGA